AUGAGCGGAUGUCUAGUCACUCCAGGUCAAAGUCCAGCAGCAGGCAUCUUUCCCAUGGUAUGCAGAGGGAGGUGUGACACAGAAGCACAGGAGAAAAACCAUUCAGAGACAGAAGCAGUGACUAGGGUUAGAUUGUCACAAGCAAAGGAACACCUGGGACCCGAAGAGCAGAAGUUUCUCCCCGGACCCUCUGAAUGGGCGGAAGGACUGCAGACCACUUACUUUUGUACGUCUUGCUUGCAGAACCGUGAGGAUACAUUUUUAUUGUCUUAAAUCAUCCAGUUUGUGGUCUAGUUGUAAUGGGGGCAGUGGAAUGGGCUCUUAGAUCCUGUUCUUUAAGGGUACAUUUGUAUUUCAUACUGUAAAGGAGUGUGCCCAUCCAUAUACAUCUCUGAUGGCUCAGCACAGACAUUUGCCAAUGAUUUGUUGUUGUUGUUGUUUUAAAGAUUUAUUUAUUAUAUGUAAGUAUACUGUAGCUGUCUUCAGACACCCCAGAAGAGGGCAUCAGAUCUCAUUACAGAUGGUUGUGAGCCACCAUGUGGUUGCUGGAAUUUGAACUCAGGACCUUUGGAAGAGCAGUCAGUGCUCUUAACCGCUGAGCCAUUCUCCAGCCCGAUUUGUUUGUUCUAAGUUAACCUUUGACUUAGCAAUUCAAGAGUUAUGCAAAGCUCAGUGGCCUUGGGAAAAUGUAAACCCCCGCUGCACACAAAGAGAGACAGUAAUAAGGGAGACCUGUGGGGACCACAAGUAGAUAAGAAGGUCAGAGCCUCAGAGCUCAGAGCCAGUUAACCCUGUGACCAAAGGAUAAAGACUAUACUGUAGAACUGAUUUUGCUAUUUCCUAUAAAGUCUGUUGGCUGGAGAUGUGGGGGUGGCAGGUCCAGAGGAUGCUGAGCCCUUCCUGUCUCAAUGGCCAGUUCUCUGAAUGAGUCAGAGCUUAAAGAUUCCAUUCCUGCCUCUGCCCAUGGUGCUGAUUGGCAGCAUGGACUUGUAUUCUGGUUAUAUUUGUUAUGACAGCCCCAGGAAGACACUGCAGAAAUCCCCCUGCCCUUUCCCAGGUCUUCUGAGCUCUUCAGUCUUCUGUGUGCUUCAAUGAGGCCAGAGCAGGCG
This 1109-nucleotide long non-coding RNA is filed under the name Mus spicilegus (steppe mouse). RNAcentral describes it as "lncRNA (ENSMSIG00000025632.1)". Lineage: Eukaryota; Metazoa; Chordata; Mammalia; Rodentia; Muridae. The record is from RNAcentral.